Molecule: non-coding RNA, 692 nt
Organism: Ictidomys tridecemlineatus (thirteen-lined ground squirrel)
Lineage: Eukaryota; Metazoa; Chordata; Mammalia; Rodentia; Sciuridae
Source: RefSeq, a predicted model, not a curated record
AAAAGCUAGGAUAGAAAGGAAAACAAUCCAGCUGUACAGAGUUGAGAUGGUUAGAAGAUGGACUGCAUUAGAGACUGAGCAUCUGUGGAUCAGGGAGGGACCCCAUGGAUCUGAUUCACCAGUGAAGAGCCAGUGUCCAUCUUCCCACCUAAGGCCUCUACUGGUAAAAUUAUCCAUUACAACCCACAAGGUGAUGUGACUGUUUCUGGUCCUGGAACCACAUAUUGAUGACCAAUAGACUAUUCUACAGUCAUCAGCAAAAAAAGUGUUCCACCAAGAAGAAGAAGUGGGCUCCCGUGGAAAGGACAGAUGAAAUGAACUCCCAGAGUCCAUACUAACGGACAGCAGCAACAUAGGUUAAAAAAACAGGUGUCCAAUUAUCACUAUCACAUCAUUAUUACUGUCAUUAGAGACAAAACAUAACCAACGCUAUUUAUUUUCUUCCACUCUCUUCCAAACCUACUUAUUGACCUCAAUUACCCCAGAAGAAAAGGAACAUAACUAAAUGAAAUGAGGUGUCAACACUGCACCAUGGCCUGCCUGGGCUGUAAGAUGAUCCUGCCACUCUUCUCCAAUGGCCUUCCAGAAGCCACAGACCACCUCAAAGCCACAAGUCUAGUGGCCUUUCCCUGAAGUGCACAUUCUCCUUGUUUAUUUUGUAGUAUUUAUAGUGUCACAGGACAUAGACUUCU